This 253-nucleotide ribosomal RNA is filed under the name uncultured bacterium. Its description in RNAcentral is "partial 16S ribosomal RNA". It matches the Rfam family "Bacterial small subunit ribosomal RNA", at positions 524 to 776 of the family's 1533-position model. The record is from RNAcentral.
UACGUAGGGUGCAAGCGUUAAUCGGAAUUACUGGGCGUAAAGCGUGCGCAGGCGGUGAUGUAAGACAGGUGUGAAAUCCCCGGGCUUAACCUGGGAACUGCAUUUGUGACUGCAUCGCUGGAGUGCGGCAGAGGGGGAUGGAAUUCCGCGUGUAGCAGUGAAAUGCGUAGAUAUGCGGAGGAACACCGAUGGCGAAGGCAAUCCCCUGGGCCGGCACUGACGCUCAGGCACGAAAGCGUGGGGAGCAAACAGG